RNAcentral lists this ribosomal RNA (966 nucleotides) under human gut metagenome. RNAcentral's name for it is "bacterial LSU rRNA". It matches the Rfam family "Bacterial large subunit ribosomal RNA", at positions 1957 to 2925 of the family's 2925-position model. The record is from RNAcentral.
UAGCGAAAUUCCUUGUCGGGUAAGUUCCGACCCGCACGAAAGGCGUAAUGAUUUGAGCGCUGUCUCGACAAUGCAUCCGGUGAAAUUGAAGUACCAGUGAAGAUGCUGGUUACCCGCGCCAGGACGGAAAGACCCCAUGGAGCUUUACUCCAGUUUGAUACUGGGAUUCGGUACUGCACGUACAGGAUAGGUGGGAGACUGAGAACUAUGGACGCCAGUCUGUAGGGAGUCGCUGUUGGGAUACCACCCCUGUAGUACUGGGUUUCUAACCAGCUGCCGUGACCCGGCAGUGGGACAAUGUCAGGCGGGGAGUUUGACUGGGGCGGUCGCCUCCGAAAGGGUAUCGGAGGCGCUCAAAGGUUCCCUCAGAAUGGUCGGAAACCAUUCGAAGAGUGCAAAGGCAGAAGGGAGCUUGACUGCGACACCGACGGGUGGAGCAGGUACGAAAGUAGGACUUAGUGAUCCGGUGGUAUAAAGUGGGAUUGCCAUCGCUCAACGGAUAAAAGCUACCCUGGGGAUAACAGGCUUAUCACUCCCAAGAGUUCACAUCGACGGAGUGGUUUGGCACCUCGAUGUCGGCUCAUCGCAUCCUGGGGCUGUAGUAGGUCCCAAGGGUUGGGCUGUUCGCCCAUUAAAGCGGUACGCGAGCUGGGUUCAGAACGUCGUGAGACAGUUCGGUCCCUAUCCGGCGCGGGCGGAGGAUAUUUGAGAGGAGCUGUCCUUAGUACGAGAGGACCGGGAUGGACGGACCACUGGUGUAUCUGUUGUCGACCAACGGCAUGGCAGAGUAGCCAAGUCUGGAAGGGAUAAACGCUGAAGGCAUCUAAGCGUGAAGCCCCCCUCAAGAUGAGAUAUCCCAUUCGAAAGAAGUAAACCCCCUUGAAGACGACGAGGUAGAUAGGGCAGAGGUGGAAGUGUGGCAACACAUGGAGCUGACUGUUACUAAUAGGUCGAGGGCUUGAUUAA